Molecule: ribosomal RNA, 826 nt
Filed under: Leifsonia sp. HAP2-8_Pa
Lineage: Bacteria; Bacillati; Actinomycetota; Actinomycetes; Micrococcales; Microbacteriaceae
Description: bacterial SSU rRNA
Rfam family: Bacterial small subunit ribosomal RNA
Source: RNAcentral
GCAGUCGAACGAUGAUCCUGGAGCUUGCUCUGGGGGAUUAGUGGCGAACGGGUGAGUAACACGUGAGUAACCUGCCCUUGACUCUGGGAUAACCUCCGGAAACGGAAGCUAAUACCGGAUAUGACGCACGGAGGCAUCUCCUGUGCGUGGAAAGAAUUUCGGUCAAGGAUGGACUCGCGGCCUAUCAGGUAGUUGGUGAGGUAAUGGCUCACCAAGCCUACGACGGGUAGCCGGCCUGAGAGGGUGACCGGCCACACUGGGACUGAGACACGGCCCAGACUCCUACGGGAGGCAGCAGUGGGGAAUAUUGCACAAUGGGCGAAAGCCUGAUGCAGCAACGCCGCGUGAGGGACGACGGCCUUCGGGUUGUAAACCUCUUUUAGUAGGGAAGAAGCGAAAGUGACGGUACCUGCAGAAAAAGCACCGGCUAACUACGUGCCAGCAGCCGCGGUAAUACGUAGGGUGCAAGCGUUGUCCGGAAUUAUUGGGCGUAAAGAGCUCGUAGGCGGUUUGUCGCGUCUGCUGUGAAAUCCCGAGGCUCAACCUCGGGUCUGCAGUGGGUACGGGCAGACUAGAGUGCGGUAGGGGAGAAUGGAAUUCCUGGUGUAGCGGUGGAAUGCGCAGAUAUCAGGAGGAACACCGAUGGCGAAGGCAGUUCUCUGGGCCGUAACUGACGCUGAGGAGCGAAAGCGUGGGGAGCGAACAGGAUUAGAUACCCUGGUAGUCCACGCCGUAAACGUUGGGCGCUAGAUGUGGGGACCAUUCCACGGUUUCCGUGUCGCAGCUAACGCAUUAAGCGCCCCGCCUGGGGAGUACGGCCGCAAGG